UACAGAGGGUGCAAGCGUUAAUCGGAAUUACUGGGCGUAAAGCGCGUGUAGGCGGCUUAUUAAGUCGGAUGUGAAAGCCCUGGGCUUAACCUGGGAACUGCGUUCGAUACUAAUAGGCUAGAGUCGGGCAGAGGGUGGCGGAAUUUCCGGUGUAGCGGUGAAAUGCGUAGAUAUCGGAAAGAACACCAGUGGCGAAGGCGGCCACCUGGGUCCAGACUGACGCUGAGGCGCGAAAGCGUGGGGAGCAAACAGG
RNAcentral lists this ribosomal RNA (253 nucleotides) under uncultured bacterium. RNAcentral's name for it is "partial 16S ribosomal RNA". It matches the Rfam family "Bacterial small subunit ribosomal RNA", at positions 524 to 776 of the family's 1533-position model. The record is from RNAcentral.